RNAcentral lists this ribosomal RNA (380 nucleotides) under uncultured eukaryote. RNAcentral describes it as "partial 18S ribosomal RNA". It matches the Rfam family "Eukaryotic small subunit ribosomal RNA", at positions 592 to 976 of the family's 1831-position model. The record is from RNAcentral.
CAAUAGCGUAUAUUAAAGUUGUUGCGGUUAAAAAGCUCGUAGUUGGAGUUCUGCCAGGUGCCGCCUGUCCGCCCCAGUGGUGAGUACGUGGCGCGCAUUUGGCCCUUUCAAGGGGAGCGUAUCUGCACUUUAUUGUGUGGUGCGGGAUCCUUGACUUUUACUUUGAGGAAAUAGGAGUGUUCCAAGCAGGCUCUCGUCGUGCACAGCUCAGCAUGGAAUAAUAGCAUUGGACCUCGAUUCUAAGCUGUUGGUUGCCAGAAGCGAGGUAAUGAUGAAGAGGGAUAGUUGGGGGCAUUCGUAUUUAACUGUCAGAGGUGAAAUUCUUGGAUUUGUUAAAGACGGACUACUGCGAAGGCAUCUGCCAUGGAUGGUUUCAUUGA